RNAcentral lists this ribosomal RNA (767 nucleotides) under uncultured Granulicatella sp. RNAcentral's name for it is "bacterial SSU rRNA". It matches the Rfam family "Bacterial small subunit ribosomal RNA", at positions 28 to 776 of the family's 1533-position model. Lineage: Bacteria; Bacillati; Bacillota; Bacilli; Lactobacillales; Carnobacteriaceae. The record is from RNAcentral.
GACGAACGCUGGCGGCGUGCCUAAUACAUGCAAGUCGAACGAGAGCGACCGGUGCUUGCACUGGUCAAUCUAGUGGCGAACGGGUGAGUAACACGUGGGUAACCUGCCCAUCAGAGGGGGAUAACAUUCGGAAACGGAUGCUAAAACCGCAUAGGUCCUUUAACCGCAUGGUUGAAGGAGGAAAAGAGGCGCAAGCUUCUGCUGAUGGAUGGACCCGCGGUGCAUUAGCUAGUUGGUGAGGUAACGGCUCACCAAGGCCGUGAUGCAUAGCCGACCUGAGAGGGUGAUCGGCCACAUUGGGACUGAGACACGGCCCAAACUCCUACGGGAGGCAGCAGUAGGGAAUCUUCCGCAAUGGACGCAAGUCUGACGGAGCAACGCCGCGUGAGUGAAGAAGGUUUUCGGAUCGUAAAACUCUGUUGUUAGAGAAGAACAAGUGCUAGAGUAACUGUUAGCGCCUUGACGGUAUCUAACCAGAAAGCCACGGCUAACUACGUGCCAGCAGCCGCGGUAAUACGUAGGUGGCAAGCGUUGUCCGGAUUUAUUGGGCGUAAAGCGAGCGCAGGCGGUUUCUUAAGUCUGAUGUGAAAGCCCCCGGCUCAACCGGGGAGGGUCAUUGGAAACUGGGGAACUUGAGUGCAGAAGAGGAGAGUGGAAUUCCAUGUGUAGCGGUGAAAUGCGUAGAUAUAUGGAGGAACACCAGUGGCGAAGGCGACUCUCUGGUCUGUAACUGACGCUGAGGCUCGAAAGCGUGGGUAGCAAACAGG